GGGAGCCUUGAAACUGCCAAAAUCCCCCUGGAGAGCCCCAAAACUGCCCAAAUUCACCCAGGGGAGCCUUGAAACCACCACAACUUCUAUGGGGGAGCCCCGAAACCGCCCAAAUCCCUUCCUUGAGAGCCCCAAAACCACUCAAAUUCCCCCAAGGCAGCCCCAAAACUACCAUGGUCCAUCUGGGGAGCCUUGAAACCCCCAAGAUCCCUCUGGGGAGCCUCAAAACCACCAAAAUCCCUAAAAGGGAGCCCCAAAACCACACAACCCCCCCCCCGGCGGCCGGACAGAGCAGCAAGACGAGGAGCAGGGGACGAAGAAAGUCAUCGAGAACCCGAAACCGAGGGGAACGGCCCCAAAACGCGGCCCCGCGGCAAUAAAUAGGGGGUCCCCGGCCCCACGGGGGGGGUCCUCAGGUCAAAGGGGGGGUCCCCAGUAUAAAAAAAGGGGCUCCCAGUACAAAGGGGGGAGGGGAGCAGUAAAAAGGGGGGGGCUCGGCCCCAUUGGAGUGAGCUUGACCCCAAAAAGGGGUUGUCUGACCCCAAAAUGGGGGGUCCCCAGCCCCAAAAACGGGGUUUUUCAGCCCAAAAACAGGGAGGUCCCCGAAAUAGGGGUUCUGGCCUCAAAAUGGAGGUCCCCGGUCUCAAAAAAAGGAAGGUCCCAACCCCAAAAGGGGGUUCUCCGCCUCAAAAUGUGGGUCCCCGGCCCCAAAAAGAGGGUCUCUGGCCCCAAAAAGGGGGUCUCCGGCCUCAAAGUGAGUGUUUUUUACCCAAAAUUGGCAGUCCCGGCCUCAAAACGGGGAGGCCCCCGGCCCCAAAAUGGGCGUCUUGGCCCCAGAAUGGGGGGUUUUGACCCCAGAAGUUUGGUGUGAGCCCCAAAACGGGGGGUUUUACCCCAAAAUGGGUGGUCUUAACCCCCAAAUGGGGGGUCUUGGCUUCAAAACGGGGUGUCUUAGGCCUAAAAUGGGGACGUUUUAGCCCCAAAAAGGGGGGUUUGGACCCCGAAAAAAGGGCUCUAACCCCAAAUAGCGGGGUCUUGUUCCCAAAUACGGGGCUCUCAGUCCCAAAAACAGGCGUUUUGUCCCCAAAAUGGGGCGCCCCCCCCCUCCUUGCCGGGACCACGGCCUGGUGUGGCCCCGCGGCCUCCGUCACCUCCAGGGCCUCCUGGGGGGGGGCUGGGGGGGGGGGNNNNNNNNNNNNNNNNNNNNNNNNNNNNNNNNNNNNNNNNNNNNNNNNNNNNNNNNNNNNNNNNNNNNNNNNNNNNNNNNNNNNNNNNNNNNNNNNNNNNGGGGGGCGAAAUUACCGGGGGGCGGUCCCGGGGGUGCCGGGGCACGGGGAGGCGGGAGCGGAACCCCCCCCCCAAUUUGUUGGCCUUGGGGAAGAGGCGGAAGAGGCCCCGCUCCGAGGCCAGGCCCAGCCCCUGCAGCACCCCAAAAACGGGCCGGGGGAGGCGCAGCAGCGCCCGCAGCCACCAGCGGGCGGCGCGAUGGGGGAGCCCCCCCGCCCUGGGACCCCCCCCCGCCACCUCCGAGCCCCCUCCCCAGCACGGGGGGACCCCCAAAGAGCCCCCCCCGGCCCCUGCAGGAGGCCACCAGGAGGUAGAGGGGGAGGAAGAGCCAGGGGGAGGCCAGGAGGCGCGAGGCCAGGAGCAGGGCGGGGACGUGGAGGGGGGGCAGGAUUUGGGGGAAAAAACGGGGGAUUUGGGGCACCGGCAGGGGGCGGCGGGGGGCCAGGGGGGGCCUCAGACCCAGCAGGGGCCCCAAAAGGAGGAGGAGGAGGAGGAGGAGCAGGGGGAGGGGCAGGAAGGCCGGGGGGGCGAGGGCCAGCGCCAGCCCCGCCCCCAGCAGGGCCCCGCCCCCUCCCCAGCCGGCCCAGCACGGGAGGCCACGCCCACCUGCGGCGGGAGGCUCCGCCCCCAGCUCAGGCUCCGCCCCCAGCUCAGGCUCCGCCCCCUCCUCCUGUGGCUCCGCCUCCUCGCGGGGCUCCUCCUCCUCCUCCUCGGGGGGCGGGGCCUGGAAAGGGCGGGGCCAGUGGGGGUGAGAAAUGGGGGCGGAGCCUCAGCCCCAUAGACGUGGGGCAGGGACCCCCCAGUGCCCCAUAGAUGUGGGGCAGAGCCCCCCAAGUGCCCCCUGACUUACGUCCUGGGCCUCGCUGCCGGAGCCGUCGGGGGGCGGGCAGGAGCCUUCCUCGCCCCCUUCCUCACCCCCCUCCUCUUCCUCCUCCUCCUCCUCUUCCUCGUCCUCUGGCCCCGAGGCGUUGGUGGCACUGGUGGCACUGGUGGCACUGAUGGUGCUGCUGCUGCGGCUGGCCAGGCUGCCAUCCCCCGGAGACUCCUGGGGACACUGGGGUGAGGGGGGGGGGUACUGGGAGGGGACUGGGAGCAUUGGGAGGUGCUGGGAGGGGACUGGGAGCACUGGGAGGGGACUGGGGGGCACUGGGGGGGUACUGGGAGGGAACUGGGAGGCACUGGAGAGCACUGGGAGGCAUCGUAGGGAGUCUGUGGGGUGUUAUAGGGGGGCUGUGGGGCACUGUGGGGGGUUAUGGGGUCUUUAUGGGGUCUCUGGGGGUCCCUAUGGGGUCUGUGGGGUCCCUGGGGUCUCACCUGGGCGCUGUUCCCGUGCCCCCCCCAUGCCGGGCGGCGCCGGGGGGGCUCCAGGAGCUGCAGCAGCCGGG
RNAcentral lists this long non-coding RNA (2672 nucleotides) under Anas platyrhynchos platyrhynchos (common mallard). Its description in RNAcentral is "lncRNA (ENSAPLG00000026982.1)". The record is from RNAcentral. Lineage: Eukaryota; Metazoa; Chordata; Aves; Anseriformes; Anatidae.